Molecule: ribosomal RNA, 480 nt
Filed under: uncultured bacterium
Lineage: Bacteria
Description: partial 16S ribosomal RNA
Rfam family: Bacterial small subunit ribosomal RNA
Source: RNAcentral
AAUGAACGUUGGCGGCGUGGAUUAGGCAUGCAAGUCGAGCGCGAACCCCGCAAGGGGUGAAAGCGGCGAAAGGGAGAGUAACGCGUGGGUAUUUACCCUCGGGACUGGGAUAGCUGCGGGAAACUGCAGGUAAUACCAGAUGACGUCCCCGGACCAAAGGUGUGAUUCCGCCUGAGGAUAAGCCCGCGUCCUAUUAGCUAGUUGGUGAGGUAAUGGCUCACCAAGGCAAUGAUGGGUACUGGGUGUGAGAGCACGACCCAGCUCACUGGGACUGAGACCCUGCCCCGACCCCUACGGGUGGCUGCAGUCGAGAAUCUUCGGCAAUGGGCGCAAGCCUGACCGAGCGACGCCGCGUGUGGGAUGAAGGCCUUCGGGUUGUAAACCGCUGUCAGAGGGGAGGAAUGGGCGGAGGGUAAUCUCUUCGUUUUGACCUAUCCUCAGAGGAAGUACGGGCUAAGUUCGUGCCAGCCGCCGCCGUAA